GGCUCAGAGCGAACGCUGGCGGCAGGCUUAACACAUGCAAGUCGAGCGGGCCCUUCGGGGUCAGCGGCGGACGGGUGAGUAACGCGUGGGAACGUGCCUUCUGGUUCGGAAUAACCCUGGGAAACUAGGGCUAAUACCGGAUACGCCCUUUUGGGGAAAGGUUUACUGCCGGAAGAUCGGCCCGCGUCUGAUUAGCUAGUUGGUGGGGUAACGGCCUACCAAGGCGACGAUCAGUAGCUGGUCUGAGAGGAUGAUCAGCCACACUGGGACUGAGACACGGCCCAGACUCCUACGGGAGGCAGCAGUGGGGAAUAUUGGACAAUGGGCGCAAGCCUGAUCCAGCCAUGCCGCGUGAGUGAUGAAGGCCUUAGGGUUGUAAAGCUCUUUUAUCCGGGACGAUAAUGACGGUACCGGAGGAAUAAGCCCCGGCUAACUUCGUGCCAGCAGCCGCGGUAAUACGAAGGGGGCUAGCGUUGCUCGGAAUCACUGGGCGUAAAGGGCGCGUAGGCGGCGUUUUAAGUCGGGGGUGAAAGCCUGUGGCUCAACCACAGAAUGGCCUUCGAUACUGGGACGCUUGAGUAUGGUAGAGGUUGGUGGAACUGCGAGUGUAGAGGUGAAAUUCGUAGAUAUUCGCAAGAACACCGGUGGCGAAGGCGGCCAACUGGACCAUUACUGACGCUGAGCGCGAAA
This 690-nucleotide ribosomal RNA is filed under the name Methylobacterium sp. RS-42. RNAcentral describes it as "bacterial SSU rRNA". It matches the Rfam family "Bacterial small subunit ribosomal RNA", at positions 21 to 758 of the family's 1533-position model. The record is from RNAcentral. Lineage: Bacteria; Pseudomonadati; Pseudomonadota; Alphaproteobacteria; Hyphomicrobiales; Methylobacteriaceae.